Long non-coding RNA from Bombina bombina (fire-bellied toad), 173 nucleotides. RefSeq lists it as uncharacterized. NCBI's taxonomy places the organism in Eukaryota, Metazoa, Chordata, Amphibia, Anura, Bombinatoridae. The record is from RefSeq and is a predicted model, not a curated record. The transcript is spliced from 2 exons.
CUUUAUUGUGCUAGUCCAACACAUUCAGUCAAGGACUGCCCCAUUCUUCUGAAAAACAAGAAAAUGGGACCGUAGACGCCUAUCUUCUGAGGCCAUUCUCUACACUGGGGCACAUGGGAAUUAUAUAGACAUAGAGGUUGUUAAGGCAAAUAAAAUACCACUUGAAAAAAAAA